GAACAUAUUGAUAAAAAUUCUAGCCCUAUAUAGGGGUAAUGGAAACACAUGGAAUGUUCUAUUAUACUUAUAGUUUUUUAAAUCAAUCAACUAAAUCCAUCAACUAAAUCAAGGAAAGAAUAAUCGGUCUUUCUGAAUUCUGAUUUGUGGUACUGAUAUUGUUGAAAUAUACAAGUUCGUGACAUUUAUUUAAAAAGGGGCUACGGUGGCCAAGUGGUUAGCGCACUUGCCUUUCAUCUCUGAGGCUGCAGGUUCGAAUCUCACUAAGUACCUUCUCAGUGCGACUCGAACCCAGUCCCCAUGUGAAAAGAGUAAAAGUCAACGCUCUGCCGAACGCCGUGGGUUUUCCCCGGGUACUCCGGUUUCCUCCCACACGGAAAAGUUGACAGGGUGGGUUAGGUAAAAAGGGCCCACAGUAAUUGGCAUAUGCUGUUGUGGUGACCCUGCCCUAGUUGGCGAAGCUAAAAAAAAAAAAAAAAAAAAAAAAAAAAAAUUUAUGAAUCUGGUCAGACUGAAUAAAUGUGGCAUAACAUUCAAAAUCAAAGCUCUCUCAGCGUGUCAGGAAAAGAACAUUACGACUAUAUUUACAAAGAGGGUUUUACUAGCUGUGGUAGUCUCUUUCAUCUGAGAUAUGUUAGUCCGAAAGAAAUUGUUUACUUUUAGCGCCUCUCAAGAAAUAUGUUAAUUAGCUAUAAAUUAUGCAAAAA
Molecule: non-coding RNA, 707 nt
Organism: Paramuricea clavata
Lineage: Eukaryota; Metazoa; Cnidaria; Anthozoa; Malacalcyonacea; Plexauridae
Source: the annotation of a GenBank genome assembly